UGAUGUCACCGAUGAUGCUGAGCGCC
This 26-nucleotide non-coding RNA is filed under the name Homo sapiens (human). Lineage: Eukaryota; Metazoa; Chordata; Mammalia; Primates; Hominidae. The record is from RNAcentral.